AGGACGAACGCUGGCGGCGUGCUUAACACAUGCAAGUCGAGCGGACAUCUUCGGAUGUUAGCGGCGAACGGGUGAGUAACACGUGGGCAACCUGCCCCUAGCUCUGGGAUAACUCCGGGAAACCGGGGCUAAUACUGGAUAUGACCGAUCCAUGCAUGUGGGUUGGUGGAAAGUUUUUCGGCUAGGGAUGGGCCCGCGGCCUAUCAGCUUGUUGGUGGGGUGAUGGCCUACCAAGGCGACGACGGGU
This 247-nucleotide ribosomal RNA is filed under the name uncultured bacterium. RNAcentral describes it as "partial small subunit ribosomal RNA". It matches the Rfam family "Bacterial small subunit ribosomal RNA", at positions 26 to 284 of the family's 1533-position model. The record is from RNAcentral.